This 337-nucleotide unclassified non-coding RNA is filed under the name Hevea brasiliensis (rubber tree). Lineage: Eukaryota; Viridiplantae; Streptophyta; Magnoliopsida; Malpighiales; Euphorbiaceae. The record is from RNAcentral.
CAGGUAUCCUUCUCUACUUAGCCUACCCAUUUAUAUCUCUAUCUAUAUGCAUUUGAAUGUGCUUCUACAUGUGAAUAUGGCAUCAUUGAUGCUCCAAAAUGAUUUUUUUAUGUUAUCUCUGUUCGUUUGAUGUCGUUCUUUCAAGACCCAGUUGUGCUUUCUUUGUUUUUCUUGUGAAUUUCAUUUGGAAAGUGGAGUUCUUGAAAUGAAACCAGCUCGACAAGGGGUUCUCUGUUUGAUUUUGGUCUUAAAUUUUAUUGGGUUUGCAAGUUUUUACGUGCUUGAUUAAAUACUGCGUAAUUUCUCGAACCAGCUUCUUUUUGUGCCUAUAUUUUUC